This 690-nucleotide long non-coding RNA is filed under the name Ricinus communis (castor bean). RNAcentral describes it as "long non-coding RNA (RCOM_LNC000097)". Lineage: Eukaryota; Viridiplantae; Streptophyta; Magnoliopsida; Malpighiales; Euphorbiaceae. The record is from RNAcentral.
CCACUAUGUCGAUAGAAUUUGAAAAAUAUCUAUGAUACAACAGUCUAUAUUUAGAAGACAAUUGAGACAUCCUCGAGUGACUAUACGAUGUUUCUUAUCAUUUCAAGGAACACGAAUAUAUUUUCUGCGAGCAUGAGCAUAUAUCACUGCAAAGCCUUUUGCAGCGACUAACGAUAAUUGUGAUCAGUAGCAUGUCCUGCUUCUGUUGAAGAAAGGGCAAAGCUUAGGAAAGUAAACUUGGCCAUCAAAGGAAUAAGGGGCUAGCUAUAGUUGGGCAGUCCAUCUCCAGUAUUAUCUGCCAAUAAUUGACCCUAGUCAUCUUUGCAAAAGCUUCAAUCAAAAUAAAGACUAUAUAUUAUAUGACCCUUAGUUAUCUUGUCAUCAGAACCAAAUGUGCCCUAACCACAAUACAUAUAUAUGGAGAUUUCCACUUAUGCAAAUUAAUGAAUCUUCACUUUCGAACACCUAGGUGAGACAUCCGUCAAAUAUAAAACAUGUAAAACCCCCGGAUGAAACCAGACAGCGUCAACGCCUGUCUUAAUCUUGCAGCAUAUACCCUAUUAUUUCCACCAGAACCCAUUUUCUUCUCACGGCAAAUGAUUUCUGGGCCUCAUUCAAGAACAAAAAAGAACAACUCAAAUUACAAAAAUAAAUUUGUAAUAGGAAUAAGAUAGCUACGUUUCAUCUCAC